Molecule: ribosomal RNA, 564 nt
Filed under: uncultured bacterium
Lineage: Bacteria
Description: partial 16S ribosomal RNA
Rfam family: Bacterial small subunit ribosomal RNA
Source: RNAcentral
UGGGGAAUAUUGCACAAUGGGCGAAAGCCUGAUGCAGUAACGCCGCGUGAGUGAUGAAGGCCUUCGGGUUGUAAAGCUCUGUCUUUUGGGACGAUAAUGACGGUACCAAAGGAGGAAGCCACGGCUAACUACGUGCCAGCAGCCGCGGUAAUACGUAGGUGGCAAGCGUUGUCCGGAUUUACUGGGCGUAAAGGAUGCGUAGGCGGAUUUUUAAGUGAGAUGUGAAAACCCUAAGCUUAACUUGGGGACUGCAUUUCAUACUGGAAAUCUAGAGUGCGGGAGAGGAGAAUGGAAUUCCUAGCGUAGCGGUGAAAUGCGUAGAGAUUAGGAAGAACACCAGUGGCGAAGGCGAUUCUCUGGACCGUAACUGACGCUGAGGCAUGAAAGCGUGGGUAGCAAACAGGAUUAGAUACCCUGGUAGUCCACGCCGUAAACGAUGAGUACUAGGUGUAGGAGGUAUCGACCCCUUCUGUGCCGCAGUUAACACAAUAAGUACUCCGCCUGGGAAGUACGAUCGCAAGAUUAAAAACUUAAAUGAAUUGACGGGGGUCAUAGCUGUUUCCU